Long non-coding RNA from Pan troglodytes (chimpanzee), 1765 nucleotides. RefSeq lists it as uncharacterized. The transcript is spliced from 3 exons. The record is from RefSeq and is a predicted model, not a curated record. Lineage: Eukaryota; Metazoa; Chordata; Mammalia; Primates; Hominidae.
GUUUCAGCUAGUUCUCAAUUUGGUCCAGUGUUCAAGCCCAACCUUUGGAGUCGAGUCCCACCUCCUACCUCAGAACCACCACCAUAAUCAGGAUUUAGAAUGCAUCACCCCAAAAUGUUUCUUCAUGUCCCUGGCCCCUUGCUUUCAAUCUCCUACAGCUCCUAGAUGUGGAAUGUAUGCCCUGCAGGCUGGUCUCUUUCCUGAGAGCUGAGAUGUCCUGUCCUAAGAACAGAGCCUGGCACGUGUCGGACAACUGUGGAGGGAACUGAUGAGUGAAAGAGAGAAUAGAGAAAUAAAUGAAUCAGCAUAAGCCCCACAGGGACAAAGACUGUAACUGGAGCACCCUUUCAUCCCCACUGCUGGACACAGGGUGGGGAACACUAAAUGUGCGCUACGCAUUGUUUAUCGAAACAGGCUCUACAUCAAAAUAAAAAACAAAACAAAAAAACAGGAAGCUUUUCUGGAUCAAGGCUAGCGUUUUACAGUUGAGAUAUGGAAGCCCAAGGAAGAAGGGAAAUUUGAGAUUUGCUUGUAGCCUCUGAGCUGGUCAGCUGGGAAGCUCUGGCCAAGGUGGGGUUGUUGAGCCCCAGGUAAAAGCCCCACCCAGCCCCUCUUCUUGCUGUCUGCAACAGGGCAGCCACACUCUGUGCUCACCAGGGAGUCUUAUCUGGAGUUCAAUUCCCAAGACCUGACCUUCGGGGCCUCCCAAUAAAAGGGCAGAGAUCUUUCCUCAUGAAUACGCUGGGCCCUUGCGGCUCCCUCAACUCUCAGCAGCCGCCACAGAUCCAUUCUCCUCUCUGGCCCCAAGAGCACACCUGCUUGCAGGUUUCUGGAUAGGGCUAAAAUGAAACCAGGACAGGUGUCAGGUGAAGGGCCGAGGUCUAGGCCUAAGGGGUGCUGCUUUGCCCAGAAAGGCCCAGAUGAGCCAGCCUUGAUUUGCAGCACUUAGAAGAGCCCCUGUGGCUUUUGGCAACUCAGGACAAUAGGUGAACUCCCAGGAAAGUCACUCUCCUUCCAGGCCCAGCCCAAAUGCUACCUCCUCCAGAAGGCUUUGCUGCCUCCAGCACUGGUGUGAUGUACCCCUGCUUGGUGGGAGUCCCCGCCUCUGGGUCUCCAGUCACUUCUCAGUGGCCUCCCUCUCAGCUUGUUCAUCUGUCGUUGCAUAGGACCGUGUGCGUCAACACCAGGACAAUGUUUCUGGUCUUCUUUGAACCUUCUGUGUCCAGCACAGUGCCUGACUCCCAGCAGGUACUCAGGAAAUACUUCUGACAAGUAGAAAAGGCCUCUCUGCAUCUUUAGAACUAGAGAAGCCAAAAGAAACUGAAAAGAUGCUCUAUAAGAGGCUCAGGGGUUACAGGAGGAAAGGCUGUGAAGGAAAAGGAUGCAGCCCAGGCCAACAAGCUGAGAUCUCUGGCCGUCCUGUCGCCUUUCUGGGCCUCAGGGCCACGAGGCUGCUGGAUGCAGUGGGACUGACCCCUGCUGUCCACCCUAGGACAGUCAGAUCACAUGAUCCGUAUUAGAUAAAAAAAGCAAAUAUACACCUUUGUUUAAGAUGCCACAUGCCUGAUCAAAGUAAAGGCUGUUUGCUCAACCACUUGUUAAACUCAGGAAUAGCAGACUUGCUCAUCUGAACCCAAGCUUGCAGACAGGACGGGAGAGCAGAACUCAUGCCCGAGGGCUUUCCCCGGAGAAAAGUCAGGGCUGGAAUGCUUGCCAGGACAGCUUGGAAGGUGGAAGGCGGCGGCAGCACCUGUCCUCAGUGUGU